Molecule: ribosomal RNA, 409 nt
Filed under: uncultured Micrococcus sp.
Lineage: Bacteria; Bacillati; Actinomycetota; Actinomycetes; Micrococcales; Micrococcaceae
Description: bacterial SSU rRNA
Rfam family: Bacterial small subunit ribosomal RNA
Source: RNAcentral
AAGAACCUUACCAAGGCUUGACAUGUUCUCGAUACGCCGUAGAGAACGGUUUCCCCUUUGGGGCGGGUUCACAGGUGGUGCAUGGUUGUCCUCAGCUCGUGUCGUGAGAUGUUGGGUUAAGUCCCGCAACGAGCGCAACCCUCGUUCCAUGUUGCCAGCACUAAUGGUGGGGACUCAUGGGAGACUGCCGGGGUCAACUCGGAGGAAGGUGAGGACGACGUCAAAUCAUCCUGCCCCUUAUGUCUUGGGCUUCCCCCCUGCUACAAUGGCCCGUACAAUGGGUUGCGAUACUGUGAGGUGGAGCUAAUCCCAAAAAGCCGGUCUCAUUUCGGAUUGGGGUCUGGAACUCGACCCCAUGAAAUCCGAAUCCCUUUUAAUCCCAAAUUAACCACCCUCCGGGGAAAAUUUA